ACAAUCGACCAUAGGACGAGGAGAACAGGGCUUCCCGUUCGCUCAGCCAUACUUAAGCCUCGUGCCGGCGUGUCAGUAGUUAAGUGGGUGACCAUUAGCGAAUCCACGCUGUUGAUUGUU
This is a ribosomal RNA of Exophiala spinifera, 120 nucleotides long. Lineage: Eukaryota; Fungi; Ascomycota; Eurotiomycetes; Chaetothyriales; Herpotrichiellaceae. The record is from Rfam.